RNAcentral lists this ribosomal RNA (429 nucleotides) under Actinomycetes bacterium. RNAcentral's name for it is "Actinobacteria bacterium partial 16S ribosomal RNA". It matches the Rfam family "Bacterial small subunit ribosomal RNA", at positions 355 to 776 of the family's 1533-position model. Lineage: Bacteria; Bacillati; Actinomycetota; Actinomycetes. The record is from RNAcentral.
UAGGGAAUCUUCCGCAAUGGGCGAAAGCCUGACGGAGCAACGCCGCGUGAGUGAUGAAGGUCUUCGGAUCGUAAAACUCUGUUAUUAGGGAAGAACAAAUGUGUAAGUAACUAUGCACGUCUUGACGGUACCUAAUCAUAAAGCCACGGCUAACUACGUGCCAGCAGCCGCGGUAAUACGUAGGUGGCAAGCGUUGUCCGGAAUUAUUGGGCGUAAAGCGCGCGUAGGCGGUUUUUUAAGUCUGAUGUGAAAGCCCACGGCUCAACCGUGGAGGGUCAUUGGAAACUGGAAAACUUUAGUGCAGAAGAGGAAAGUGGAAUUCCAUGUGUAGCGGUGAAAUGCGCAGAGAUAUGGAGGAACACCAGUGGCGAAGGCGACUUUCUGGUCUGUAACUGACGCUGAUGUGCGAAAGCGUGGGGAUCAAACAGG